GCCGGGAGACAGACGGCCGCGCUGCGCUGGCCCUUUGGGGCCUGCGCAGUGAGGAAAGUCUGGGCACCACAGGGCAAGGAUGCCAGCUAACGGCUGGUCGGCGAGCCGAGCACCCUCCCCGCACGCCUGCGGGGGGAAAGCGGCGAAGCCGAAGGACAGUGCCACAGAAACAAGACGGCCUGCGGCCGCGUAUGCCAGGCGUGGCAGGCCGCAGGUCAAGGUGAAACGGUGCGGUAAGAGCGCACCAGGUUCCCAGGAGACUGGGAGCGCUGGUAAACCCCAUCUGGUGCAAGACCCGACAGCGCGUGAGGGCGGCCCGCCCGUUUGCAGCGCCAGGAUGGUCGCUAGAGGCGUCUGGCGACAGGCGUCCCAGAGAGAUGGUCGUCCCUGCCUCAGGGCAGGACAGAACCCAGCUUAUCGUCUCCCGGCACAA
RNAcentral lists this RNase P RNA (433 nucleotides) under Deinococcus sp. RNAcentral's name for it is "RNase P RNA component class A". It matches the Rfam family "Bacterial RNase P class A". Rfam says of the family: Ribonuclease P (RNase P) is a ubiquitous endoribonuclease, found in archaea, bacteria and eukarya as well as chloroplasts and mitochondria. Its best characterised activity is the generation of mature 5'-ends of tRNAs by cleaving the 5'-leader elements of precursor-tRNAs. Lineage: Bacteria; Thermotogati; Deinococcota; Deinococci; Deinococcales; Deinococcaceae. The record is from RNAcentral.